This 253-nucleotide ribosomal RNA is filed under the name uncultured bacterium. RNAcentral describes it as "partial 16S ribosomal RNA". It matches the Rfam family "Bacterial small subunit ribosomal RNA", at positions 524 to 776 of the family's 1533-position model. The record is from RNAcentral.
UACGGAGGGGGCUAGCGUUGUUCGGAAUCACUGGGCGUAAAGGGUGCGUAGGCGGGUCUUUAAGUCAGGGGUGAAAUCCUGGAGCUCAACUCCAGAACUGCCUUUGAUACUGAAGAUCUUGAGUUCGGGAGAGGUGAGUGGAACUGCGAGUGUAGAGGUGAAAUUCGUAGAUAUUCGCAAGAACACCAGUGGCGAAGGCGGCUCACUGGCCCGGUACUGACGCUGAGGCACGAAAGCGUGGGGAGCAAACAGG